RNAcentral lists this RNase P RNA (372 nucleotides) under Clostridia bacterium. Its description in RNAcentral is "RNase P RNA component class A". It matches the Rfam family "Bacterial RNase P class A". From Rfam's summary of the family: Ribonuclease P (RNase P) is a ubiquitous endoribonuclease, found in archaea, bacteria and eukarya as well as chloroplasts and mitochondria. Its best characterised activity is the generation of mature 5'-ends of tRNAs by cleaving the 5'-leader elements of precursor-tRNAs. Lineage: Bacteria; Bacillati; Bacillota; Clostridia. The record is from RNAcentral.
UGAGUAGAUUGGGUGAUCGCGGGUACCAGUCCGAAAGGAGGUAUCUGAGGAAAGUCCGAGCUCCACAGGGCAGGGUGCUGGGUAACACCCAGUGGGGGCGACCCUAAGGAAAGUGCCACAGAGAUAUACCGCCGGGUAAUUGGCUUUUGCCAAAGCCGGUUACCGGGUAAGGGUGAAAAGGUGAGGUAAGAGCUCACCAGCAACCAGGCGACUGGUUUGGCUAGGUAAACCCCACCCGGAGCAAGACCGAAUAGGGGAACGUUAAAGGUGGCCCGCCUAGUUCCCGGGUAGGUCGCUUGAGGCGUUUGGUAACAAACGUCCUAGAUAGAUGAUCAUCCACGACAGAACUCGGCUUACAGAUCUACUCAUCCA